GACGAACGCUGGCGGCGUGCUUAGCACAUGCAAGUCGAACGGAAAGGCCCUGCUUUUGUGGGGUGCUCGAGUGGCGAACGGGUGAGUAACACGUGAGUAACCUGCCAUUGACUUUGGGAUAACUUCAGGAAACUGGGGCUAAUACCGGAUAGGAGCUCCUGCUGCAUGGUGGGGGUUGGAAAGUUUCGGCGGUUGGGGAUGGACUCGCGGCUUAUCAGCUUGUUGGUGGGGUAGUGGCUUACCAAGGCUUUGACGGGUAGCCGGCCUGAGAGGGUGACCGGCCACAUUGGGACUGAGAUACGGCCCAGACUCCUACGGGAGGCAGCAGUGGGGAAUAUUGCACAAUGGGCGGAAGCCUGAUGCAGCAACGCCGCGUGCGGGAUGACGGCCUUCGGGUUGUAAACCGCUUUCGCCUGUGACGAAGCGUGAGUGACGGUAAUGGGUAAAGAAGCACCGGCUAACUACGUG
RNAcentral lists this ribosomal RNA (468 nucleotides) under uncultured bacterium. RNAcentral's name for it is "partial 16S ribosomal RNA". It matches the Rfam family "Bacterial small subunit ribosomal RNA", at positions 28 to 507 of the family's 1533-position model. The record is from RNAcentral.